Molecule: ribosomal RNA, 253 nt
Filed under: uncultured bacterium
Lineage: Bacteria
Description: partial 16S ribosomal RNA
Rfam family: Bacterial small subunit ribosomal RNA
Source: RNAcentral
UACGAAGGGAGCUAGCGUUGUCCGGAAUCACUGGGCGUAAAGCGCACGUAGGCGGAUGUGUCAGUCAGGGGUGAAAUCCCGGAGCUCAACUUCGGAACUGCCCUUGAUACAGCACGUCUUGAGUCCGGAAGAGGUGGGUGGAAUUCCUAGUGUAGAGGUGAAAUUCGUAGAUAUUAGGAAGAACACCGGUGGCGAAGGCGGCCCACUGGUCCGGUACUGACGCUGAGGUGCGAAAGCGUGGGGAGCAAACAGG